GACGAACGCUGGCGGCGUGCUUAACACAUGCAAGUCGAACGAUGAACCCGGAGCUUGCUCCGGCGGAUUAGUGGCGAACGGGUGAGUAACACGUGAGUAACCUGCCCUUGACUCUGGGAUAACUGCUAGAAAUGGUAGCUAAUACCGGAUACGACCCUCGGCGGCAUCGCCAGGGGGUGGAAAGAAUUUCGGUCAAGGAUGGACUCGCGGCCUAUCAGCUAGUUGGUGAGGUAACGGCUCACCAAGGCGACGACGGGUAGCCGGCCGGAGAGGGUGACCGGCCACACUGGGACUGAGACACGGCCCAGACUCCUACGGGAGGCAGCACUGGGGAAUAUUGCGCAAUGGGCGCAAGCCUGAUUCAGCAACGCCGCGUGAGGGAUGACGGCCUUCGGGUUGUAAACCUCUUUUAGUAGGGAAGAAGCGAAAGUGACGGUACCUGCAGAAAAAGCACCGGCUAACUACGUGCCAGCCGCCGCCGUAA
Molecule: ribosomal RNA, 484 nt
Filed under: uncultured bacterium
Lineage: Bacteria
Description: partial 16S ribosomal RNA
Rfam family: Bacterial small subunit ribosomal RNA
Source: RNAcentral